ACUAUUAUUAUUUCCAUUUUACAGAGAAGGAAACUGACUUGCCCAAGUUCUCCACAGAAGCUUAUUUCAUCCAUCUCUGAGCUGAAUAUGGACACACCCUGUGCCCCCUGCCCGGGGACAUGCCCACGAUGGCCAGGCCCUGUCCACAGACCUGGGUGUCUACACAUGUGAGGCCAGCAACCGGCUUGGCACGGCAGUCAGCAGAGGCGCUCGGCUGUCUGUGGCUGUCCUCCGGGAGGAUUUCCAGAUCCAGCCUCGGGACAUGGUGGCUGUGGUGGGUGAGCAGUUUACUCUGGAAUGUGGGCCGCCCUGGGGCCACCCAGAGCCCACAGUCUCAUGGUGGAAAGAUGGGAAACCCCUGGUCCUCCAGCCCGGAAGGCACACAGUGUCCGGGGGGUCCCUGCUGAUGGCAAGAGCAGAGAAGAGUGAUGAAGGGACCUACAUGUGUGUGGCCACCAACAGCGCAGGACACAGGGAGAGCCGCGCAGCCCGGGUUUCCAUCCAGGAGCCCCAGGACUACACGGAGCCUGUGGAGCUUCUGGCUGUGCGAAUUCAGCU
Molecule: small RNA, 558 nt
Filed under: Pan troglodytes (chimpanzee)
Lineage: Eukaryota; Metazoa; Chordata; Mammalia; Primates; Hominidae
Description: processed transcript
Source: RNAcentral